Molecule: transfer RNA, 52 nt
Filed under: Pinguinus impennis (great auk)
Lineage: Eukaryota; Metazoa; Chordata; Aves; Charadriiformes; Laridae
Description: partial tRNA-Ala
Source: RNAcentral
AAAGCAUCUGGGUUGCAUUCAGGGGAUGCAGGUUAAUGUCCUGCGGGUCUUA